Molecule: transfer RNA, 71 nt
Filed under: Loxodonta africana (African savanna elephant)
Lineage: Eukaryota; Metazoa; Chordata; Mammalia; Proboscidea; Elephantidae
Rfam family: tRNA
About the family: Transfer RNA (tRNA) molecules are approximately 80 nucleotides in length. Their secondary structure includes four short double-helical elements and three loops (D, anti-codon, and T loops). Further hydrogen bonds mediate the characteristic L-shaped molecular structure. tRNAs have two regions of fundamental functional importance: the anti-codon, which is responsible for specific mRNA codon recognition, and the 3' end, to which the tRNAs corresponding amino acid is attached (by aminoacyl-tRNA synthetases). tRNAs cope with the degeneracy of the genetic code in two manners: having more than one tRNA (with a specific anti-codon) for a particular amino acid; and 'wobble' base-pairing, i.e. permitting non-standard base-pairing at the 3rd anti-codon position.
Source: Rfam by way of RNAcentral
GCAUUGAUGGUUCAGUGGUAGAAUUCCCAACUUUCAUACAGGAGACCCAAGUUCGAUUCUUAGCCAAUGCU